RNAcentral lists this ribosomal RNA (253 nucleotides) under uncultured bacterium. RNAcentral describes it as "partial 16S ribosomal RNA". It matches the Rfam family "Bacterial small subunit ribosomal RNA", at positions 524 to 776 of the family's 1533-position model. The record is from RNAcentral.
UACAGGGGGUGCAAACGUUGCUCGGAAUCAUUGGGCGUAAAGCGCACGUAGGCGGUCUGUUAUGUCGGAUGUGAAAGCCCUCGGCUCAACUGAGGAAGUGCAUCCGAAACUGGCAGGCUAGAGUACUAAAGAGGGUCGCGGAAUUCCCGGUGUAGAGGUGAAAUUCGUAGAUAUUGGGAGGAACACCAGAUGCGAAGGCGGGUCACUGGGCUGAUACUGACGCUGAAGUGCGAAAGCCAGGGGAGCGAACGGG